AGAAGAAAUUCCUACCUUUUGUUGGGUAUUUGAUGUUGAAUACAUAGUACGAGCCCAAAAGGAUAACAAUGCCAUUCACAAGAUUGGGCUGUUGAAGUUUAGCAAUGAUUUCUCCUUCUGCAGCCAAGUAAAGUGGUGUGAUGGAGCCACAUGUUCCAGCUCCAAUCAGCAUUGGGGUGACUGAUGCUCCAAUAAUUUUAUCAAUUGAUUCAUCAUCCUAAAUUAAAGAGAAGAAAUUAGAGAAAAAUAAAGAUGGAGUUUUACAUUUAAUUAGUUGAAGGUUGCUACAAUCUUCUUACAUUUUACCAUGUUUUUGACGCGCUCAAAUUCUGAUUUGAGCUAUAUAAAGUUAAUAAAAGUGGAAACUGUAUAUGAGAAGCAAACAAUACCAGUGAACUGUGUACACAUGAUAUUAAUAAUACUGCACAGAAGUAGUAUACCUCGGUGACCAUCCUUAAAGCUGGAUAGUCCGACAAUAAUAAUUUCAAAGUUGUCGGACUUGUGAGGAUUCGUUCUCGCCUUCUUUGGAACGUGGCCGACAUGGAUUCUUUGAUCCCAGUUGACUCCCACUGGAAUUAUGACGUCACAAGAAACCCAAGAAUACUAAUAUGUAUAAUGUAUACAGUGCAGUGCAGUACAUACCAAGA
This is a long non-coding RNA of Dendronephthya gigantea, 647 nucleotides long. RefSeq lists it as uncharacterized. The transcript is spliced from 5 exons. Lineage: Eukaryota; Metazoa; Cnidaria; Anthozoa; Malacalcyonacea; Nephtheidae. The record is from RefSeq and is a predicted model, not a curated record.